Molecule: long non-coding RNA, 4411 nt
Filed under: Volvox carteri
Lineage: Eukaryota; Viridiplantae; Chlorophyta; Chlorophyceae; Chlamydomonadales; Volvocaceae
Description: long non-coding RNA (VCAR_LNC001542)
Source: RNAcentral
AGUGCUUAGGUCCUUUGACACCGUUGGCGGGAGACUUUUCGUCGUUUGGGGUGGGGAUGAAAAACAUCAGCGUGUUUAUUCCUCAGGCAGCCCAGAAACCUUAGGUUUGCACCACCAGUAGCUUGGCAACGCGGUCACGGGUACACAGCACUGGCACAACAUGACUGUGUGUGUGUGUGUGUGUGUGUGUGUGCUAUGCUGUCCUAUGCUCAUGAUGCUCUCAUGGCCUUUCGCUACAACAGGUCCAAGGCCUUAUCAUUGCCGUCAUGUACGAGAAAUCCCGGGGAAGGCAGUCACGAUGGGCGCCGUACUUGAACCUGAUCCCGGACGACAUGACCCACAUGCCGCUGUACUGGAAGGUACGGUAAUGUACGGGAAAGGUGGAUCGUACCGUGGACACCGUGCCACUCGCCUCCCAAACUCUAUGCGCCGUGGCGAGAGCUCAUCUUCACGCACUCAGCGAGUUCUGGUCCCCCGCCCUUAAACCCCGUCUACGGACAGCAUAGGGAGUUCAAGGAGCUGCGUGGUACGGCAGCGUACGACAAGAUGAUGGGCAAGGUGCAGUGUCCCGCCGACGCACCCACGCAGGUCGGUUAACACUUUGUAUUGUAUGGGGUUGUCAUGUGCGUCGCAUCACUGCUCUUUUGCGGAUCGUGGUACGACACAUCACUGCUUUCCCCCCUCCCCGUUGACCGGGCGAUCUGCAAUCCUCCGCUGUACUGUGCAGGUCCCCGUUCUGUGGAGUGAGGUGGUGGAGCCCUUCAUCCAGGAGCACCCGGAAUUAGAGCUGCCGGAGGGGAAGGCGGGGUAUGACUUAUACCGCUGGGCCACGUGCGCUGUGGCGUCGUACAGCUUUAUCUUGGGUGAUGACAAGUACCAGGUGGGCAUUCCAGUCCUGUACGGCCGGGGGCUCGUGACUGCGGCUGCUGCAAAUGAUGUCGUACCAUGAGCACCUUAUCCAAUCUAACUACGAAAGCCCCCUUCAUUCUCUCCCCCCUCUUUUCCUCCCCCUCUCCCCCUCUCCCCCUCUCCCCAUCUCUCUCCUUUCCUCCUCUCAUUUCUUUCCCACAUGCGUAUGAAGCCCACCUCUAGGCGCCCUCCUGCUCACCCAGCACCCUCCUCCCCCUCCCCCUCCGUCCCCGCGCUGGCGGCCGCCCCAGGCGAUGGUCCCCGUCUGGGACCUGCUCAACCACAUCACAGGUCGGGUGAACGUCCGACUGCACCACUGCGCCAAGAGGUAAAGAAGAAGGGAGGAAAGGCGAUAUUCGGGGUGGCUGCACCCCGUAGGGCCCUCCUGGAGUGGGUGGACGGGUGGCGUCGCGGGCCCCAGGGGAGUGAGUACGACCGCUCGCUGCACGGGGCGAGGCCAUGCAAGCCAAUCGCCAAGCGUCCUUGCUAGGUUGGGGAUAACCCAACCAACCAACCAACUCCGGGCCCUAUAUCAGUUGGCAACUUGCUCAUUGGGUAACCGGUAUAUAUGUAUGUAUAUAUAUUAUAUAACCCCCGGACGACUGCUGAAGCCGGAAGGGCGGACAUGGUGAUCUCGUCGCAUGGCAGCUGUCCCGUGAGCCCACGGAGUUGUGUGGGAUGUGCCGAUGAGGCGGCGGCAUUUGGGGCGUGGCGUGAAGCGUGUAUGAGGUUGGCUGAUGUCGGCGCCUCACGCACCAAGAGCGCCGCCAGGAACGUACCCGCACCGCACGGGAGAGCGGGCGGGGAGCCGUGUCCGCGUUCUUAUCCGGCGGGUCUGUCCUAACCCGCCUAACCUUACCCGUCCUAACGGGGCACCGUGCGCCACCCUGCUGGGGAUGGAAGCACCCCCCAGGUCUCAGCAGCCACUGGAUUGCGCUUCCCGCUUGCGGCGUUGUUUGUUGCGCCGGUACUGCAGGCACGUGCUUCACAUGAUUGCCACUCGGGACAUCCUUCGCGGUGAGGAGCUGGUCAACAACUACGGUGAGCUUUCCAACGCGGAACUUCUGCGGGGGUACGGCUUCGUGGAGGCACGCAACCGGAACAAUCACGUACAGGUCGGUUGGGGAUUGAAGGAGGCUGCUGGUUUGGGAGGAGAGUUAAUAUGGCUGUGGAGCGGGUGCUGGAGCAAAGCGCGCUUCGCACAUGACGAGGAGGUAGCGGGUGACAAGAAAAUGAGGCGGGUCGGGGGCGGGUAAGGGGUGGGCCUCCCUCCCCCCAGCGUGCUGAGCCCGGGUAAACGCUAAGCCGCCAACCCCGUCACCAAUGCCUACCACUAUAGUUACCCAGUUACCGCCAGGCAAGGCUUGUCCGUUGAAGAGGGGCGGCUGCGGGGCCGACGGGGUGAGGGUGGGGAUGCUGGCACCUGCGUUUUGGUUUUGGGAGGGGAGCCAUACCCAGCCGCUGCCAUUGGACUCCGGCUCGCCCACGUGGCCCUCCGCGCAACCUGCCUAGGUUCCACUGGGCUUUGUGGUCCGUGCGGCGACGGAGCUUCUCCGAGAGGACAUCACGGCAGCGGCGGGUGCCGGCCCUGGACCCGGUCCUGGUAGUCAGUCCGACCAGGGGGAGAUACGAGCCCGCGCAUCUGCGCGGUUGCGCCUGGCUCGCCGGUGCGACCUGUUGCCACAGCACCAUGUGUUCAAAAUUUUCGAGGGGCGGCCACCUCCGCCCCCCAUGACUGCGCUCAUCCAUCUGCUGCUGGCGUCGGAUGCCGACAUUCCGGCUGUGCGGGGUGCUGUCCGCCGUGCAGCCGCGGCCGUAGUGGAAGGUGAGGAUGGCGCGGAUUGCGGCAAGGAUAAGGGCAAGGCCCGGCGGCGUAAUGUCGCGGCAGCUGGGGCGGUUCUACAAGCACGCACAGCGGCUGCGGUGGCGGCAGCCUUGGCUGGGAACGAGACGGCGCUGGCGCGGGUCGCGAGGGUGUACGACAUGAUUGUGCAGCGCAUGCUCGGCCGGUACAGCUGUGACCUCGCAGAGGACGACAGGUUGCUGGCGGAGGCGGAGGCAGGACGCCGAGUACUUCCGCCACGCUUACAUGCGGCGGUGUUGGCUCGGAAGCCGGAGAAGGACGCGUUGCUGAGUUUGCGGAAAUUCAUCGGUCAGGAAGGAGCUUUGCGUCAAUCCUUGGCUGUCAAUUCCGGCAAGAGCUUGUCGAAGACAGUCUUCGGAAUAGCAGGAGCAAAGGGGUCAGAGGAACAGCUCUCUGAACCGCUAAAAUACAGUCGUGCCAUGGCUAAGAGCUGUAGCGCUGCUCCUGUCAAUAAGUUUGCCCCUGCUUCGUUUUCGUUCGGUUUCUCUCUGUAAGUUUUGAGUUCGACUUGCUUCAGUUCGCUUUAAUAUGUGAGGAUUCAGCAAAACUGGGAGGAUCUAGUAAAACCAUUGCAUCUCAGGGAUAGCCGCUUCUGUUCAGUGCGUGCCAUUACAGAUUUUCGUAUCCCCGUCGGCAAGCGCAUGUUCCCAUCUGCAAUGGUACCCAACGCCCUCUUAGUGCUUAGCUGAGGAUGACGGUCACAAUCCAUGGAUCGCAGGUUACAGUGGCCAACGUGCCCGCAGGUAUAAAGGUGUCACUCUUCUCCUUCAAACGGCCUACCGAACCGCCACGGCUCCAAAAAAUGCUGGCUGUCCGAACCCGCAAAAAGACAACGAGGGCAUAGCACCCGGCAACCUUAACCAGGACAUAGCAGUCGGUCACAAACGCCAGAGCGACAGGCGCACAUUCACGUAUGACCGUGAAGACGUGCCGAUAUUGAACCGUCAGGUCGGGAACAGCCUCCCCAUACCGCCUCAAAUUGCUAUUUGUACAGAGACUCAGGCCCAGACAUCAUCGCUAAGCACUUCCCUCGAUGAAGCAGCAAAACGAGAGCCACAGGCGUGAGCGUCACGUGCAAGCACACGCUUCGGCGCAUUUACGAGGAGGGAGCCUCCUUCUCAAUGUACCUGAGCACGCAGAGAUGGGGGCAAUGAGGGGGGAAAAGAGAUUACGGGGAAAGGAAAUAGUUUUGUACACAGUAAUAGUCGCAUACAUACAACUUCAAAAAUCAAAAUGUGUGGCGUCCCGACACCAUGCUCCCAGCUACACCAGCACUCACACGAACAGCGUAGCCAUUCCGAUGGCUGGCAGAACCAGGCCAGUCAGGGGCACGAACAGCGAGGGAGCCCAGGCCGGGGGCACGAAGGGGUAGCCCUCAGCAGCGCUAGCAACGGUGGCGAUGACCUGCGAGGCCUCAGCCUGCAAGCAUACAAGUGGACGACGAAAGAUCGGUAGCCUGGGAGAGCCUCCGCUGCACUUCAGCAUAUUCCCAGACAAAGAUGCAAAAUCUGAUUGUGCAAACAGUACGCAGCCAUAUCUCUGAAGCUUGUAAACAGGACUGGACGGAAGCGCCUUCCCCAUCAAACAUAAACACAUAAACCAAAAUUAAGCGCUGAGUAGGAAAUGUCAGUUGCCCUC